This 451-nucleotide ribosomal RNA is filed under the name Salmonella enterica subsp. enterica serovar Derby. Its description in RNAcentral is "partial 23S ribosomal RNA". It matches the Rfam family "Bacterial large subunit ribosomal RNA", at positions 444 to 796 of the family's 2925-position model. Lineage: Bacteria; Pseudomonadati; Pseudomonadota; Gammaproteobacteria; Enterobacterales; Enterobacteriaceae. The record is from RNAcentral.
AACGGGGGAGCAUCCUCCAAGGCUAAAUACUCCUGACUGACCGAUAGUGAACCAGUACCGUGAGGGAAAGGCGAAAAGAACCCCGGCGAGGGGAGUGAAAAAGAACCUGAAACCGUGUACGUACAAGCAGUGGGAGCCCCACCACUAAGCCAGUGGUGAACUCCACAUACGCAUCCUUUGCUGAGGAUACGGUUAACGGAGCGCAAGCGACGUUCAACCGCAAAAGAAGCAGAGGGGGCUUAGUGGUGGGGUGACUGCGUACCUUUUGUAUAAUGGGUCAGCGACUUAUAUUCUGUAGCAAGGUUAACCGUAUAGGGGAGCCGGAGGGAAACCGAGUCUUAAUUGGGCGUUAAGUUGCAGGGUAUAGACCCGAAACCCGGUGAUCUAGCCAUGGGCAGGUUGAAGGUUGGGUAACACUAACUGGAGGACCGAACCGACUAAUGUUGAAAAA